GACGAACGCUGGCGGCAUGCCUAAUACAUGCAAGUCGAGCGAACAGAUGAAGUGCUUGCACUUCUGACGUUAGCGGCGAACGGGUGAGUAACACGUAAGGAAUCUACCUAUAAGCGGGGGAUAACAUUCGGAAACGGGUGCUAAUACCGCAUAAUAUCUUCUUCCGCAUGGAAGACGAUUGAAAGACGGCCCUGCUGUCACUUAUAGAUGACAUUGCGUUGCAUUAGUUAGUUGGUGGGGUAAAGGCCUACCAAGACGAUGAUGCAUAUCCGCACUGAAGGGGGGAUCGGCCACGUUGGGACUGAGACAGCGACCAAACGCCAACGGGAGGCAGCAGUAGGGAAGCUUCCGAAAUGGGCGAAAGCCUGACGGGGCAAUGCCGCGUGUGUGAAGAAGGCCGGAGGGUUGUAAAGCACUUUUAGUGGGGAGGAGGGUAUCUAGGUUAAGAGCUAGGAUAUUGGACGUUACUCACAGAAAAAGCACCGGCUAACUCCGUGCCAGCAGCCGCGGUAA
Molecule: ribosomal RNA, 513 nt
Filed under: uncultured bacterium
Lineage: Bacteria
Description: partial 16S ribosomal RNA
Rfam family: Bacterial small subunit ribosomal RNA
Source: RNAcentral